AGCUCUGUAAGCGUAUACCAAAGUUGUUGCAGUUAAAACGCUCGUAGUCGGACCUUGGCGGGCGGGCUGGGGCGUCUUUACGGACGGAUCCAGGACCGGCCGCCUUUGUGGAUGGGGGCCCGGCGUCGCUUCAGUGCGUCGGCGUGGUCGCUGCCACCGUUUACUGUGAGAAAAUUAGAGUGUUCAAAGCGGGCGUUUGCCAUGAAUACAUUAGCAUGGAAUAAUAGAAUAGGACCUGUCUCCUAUUUUGUUGGUUUGUGAGGAACGGGUAAUGAUUAAGAGGGACGGUUGGGGGCAUUUGUAUUCCGGCGUCAGAGGUGAAAUUCUUGGAUUGUCGGAAGACAAACGGCUGCGAAAGCGUCUGCCAAGGACGUUUUCAUUGAUCAAGAACGAAAGUAGG
This 400-nucleotide ribosomal RNA is filed under the name phytoplankton environmental sample. Its description in RNAcentral is "partial small subunit ribosomal RNA". It matches the Rfam family "Eukaryotic small subunit ribosomal RNA", at positions 587 to 993 of the family's 1831-position model. The record is from RNAcentral.